UACAGAGGUCUCAAGCGUUGUUCGGAUUCAUUGGGCGUAAAGGGUGCGUAGGUGGCGAGGUUAGUCAGGUGUGAAAUCUCGGGGCUCAACCCCGAAACUGCACUUGAUACUGUCUUGCUAGAGUACUGGAGAGGAGAUUGGAAUUUACGGUGUAGCAGUGAAAUGCGUAGAUAUCGUAAGGAAGACCAGUGGCGAAGGCGAAUCUCUGGACAGUUACUGACACUGAGGCACGAAGGCCAGGGGAGCAAACGGG
RNAcentral lists this ribosomal RNA (253 nucleotides) under uncultured bacterium. RNAcentral's name for it is "partial 16S ribosomal RNA". It matches the Rfam family "Bacterial small subunit ribosomal RNA", at positions 524 to 776 of the family's 1533-position model. The record is from RNAcentral.